RNAcentral lists this ribosomal RNA (462 nucleotides) under uncultured bacterium. RNAcentral's name for it is "partial 16S ribosomal RNA". It matches the Rfam family "Bacterial small subunit ribosomal RNA", at positions 28 to 507 of the family's 1533-position model. The record is from RNAcentral.
GAUGAACGCUGACAGAAUGCUUAACACAUGCAAGUCAUUGGCGAAGCUGCGCUUGCGCAGUCUAGCCAAGGCGGACGGGUGAGUAACGCGUAAGGAACUUGCCCUGCAGACAGGUAUAACAGACGGAAACGACUGAUAACACCUGGUAUUGUCAGGCUGGCGCAUGCCGGCCUGAUGAAAGGAGACGCUGCAGGAGAGCCUUGCGUCCUAUUAGCUAGUUGGUGGGGUAACGGCCCACCAAGGCGAUGAUAGGUAGCCGGCCUGAGAGGGUGAACGGCCACAAGGGGACUGAGAUACGGCCCUUACUCCUACGGGAGGCAGCAGUGGGGAAUAUUGGACAAUGGGGGCAACCCUGAUCCAGCAAUUCUGUGUGCACGAAGAAGGUUUUCGGAUUGUAAAGUGCUUUCAGCAGGGAAGAAGAAAGUGACGGUACCUGCAGAAGAAGCGACGGCUAAAUACGUG